GUUCAGCACUAAGUCACUUUGUCUUUAUGGCAAAUGUGAGAUGCAGUGUAUGGAAUGUCAAAUUUCUAGUAUGAGAAAUUAACGAUUUAAGUCCUUCUUAAAUGAGGCCAUUUACCCAAAGAGGGUGCCAGGCCCGUAUAACGUUAAUGAUUACUAGAUGACAUUUCCAAAGAGUCGUGUUGCUUGAUAGUGCAGCACUAAGUGGGUGGUAAACUCCAUCUAAAACUAAAUAUAACCAUGAGACCGAUAGUAAACAAGUACCGUGAGGGAAAGUUGAAAAGAACUCUGAAUAGAGAGUUAAAUAGUACGUGAAACUGCUUAGAGGUUAAGCCCGAUGAACCUGAAUAUCCAUUAUGGAGAAUUCAUCAUUAUGAUUUUAAUAUUAAUAAUAUUAAAUUAAUGGUGUGCAUUUUUUCCAUAAAAGGACAUUGUAAUCUAUUAACAUAUAUAUUUAUCAUAAGAUCAAUUAUGCGUAAGUUUAUUCAAAUUAUUUUGCUUGCAAUUUAACAUAGAAUAAAUGCUCUUUGAUUUGAUAAAGUGUUGAUAGAUUUAUUAUAUAUAGUGCUUAAAUAUUUUUUUUAAUAUUUUAUAAUAGCAUAUUAAUCAUUGAUUUUUAUGUUUAUUAUAUGCACUUAUAUGAUUAACAAUGCGAAAGAUUCAGGAUACCUUCGGGACCCGUCUUGAAACACGGACCAAGGAGUCUAACAUAUUUGCAAGUUAUUGGGAAUAAAAACCUAAUAGCGAAAUUAACAUAACUAUAUAUGAUGGGAUUAGUUUUUAGAUUAUUUUUAAUAGUCUAUUAAUUCAAUCCCGGGGCGUUCUAUACAGUUAUGUAUAAUAAUAUUUAUAUUAUUUAUACCUCUAACUAGAGCGUACCUUGAGCAUAUAUGCUGUGACCCGAAAGAUGGUGAACUAUACUUGAUCAGGUUGAAGUCAGGGGAAACCCUGAUGGAAGACCG
RNAcentral lists this ribosomal RNA (959 nucleotides) under Nyctia lugubris. Its description in RNAcentral is "eukaryotic LSU rRNA". It matches the Rfam family "Eukaryotic large subunit ribosomal RNA", at positions 107 to 877 of the family's 3401-position model. Lineage: Eukaryota; Metazoa; Arthropoda; Insecta; Diptera; Sarcophagidae. The record is from RNAcentral.